UACGUAGGGGUGCAACGUUGCCGGAAUUAUGGCGUAAAGAGCGUGUAGGCGGCCAGGUAGGUCUGCUGAUGAAACUCGAGGCUCAAACCUCGAGAUUGUCGGCGGAAACCAUCUGGCUAGAGUCCGGGAGAGGAGAGUGGAAUUCCUGGUGUAGCGGUGAAAUGCGCAGAUAUCAGGAAGAACACCCGUGGACGAAAGCGGCUCUCUGGAACGGUACUGACGCUGAGACGACGAAAGCGUGGGGAG
RNAcentral lists this ribosomal RNA (246 nucleotides) under uncultured bacterium. Its description in RNAcentral is "partial 16S ribosomal RNA". It matches the Rfam family "Bacterial small subunit ribosomal RNA", at positions 524 to 768 of the family's 1533-position model. The record is from RNAcentral.